UGAGCAAUCUGCCCUUCUCAUCGGAAUAGGCGUUGGAAACGACGUCUAAUGCCGAAUACGACCUCCUUUCGCAUGAUCGGAGGUGGAAAGCUCCGGCGGAGAAGGAUGAGCUCGCGGCCUAUCAGCUUGUUGGUGAGGUAAUGGCUCACCAAGGCGACGACGGGUAGCCGGCCUGAGAGGGUGACCCGGCCACACGUGGGACUGAGACACGGCCCAGACCUCCGUAGGAGGCG
This 233-nucleotide ribosomal RNA is filed under the name uncultured bacterium. Its description in RNAcentral is "partial 16S ribosomal RNA". It matches the Rfam family "Bacterial small subunit ribosomal RNA", at positions 118 to 349 of the family's 1533-position model. The record is from RNAcentral.